Molecule: transfer RNA, 81 nt
Filed under: Patescibacteria group bacterium
Lineage: Bacteria
Description: tRNA-Leu
Rfam family: tRNA
About the family: Transfer RNA (tRNA) molecules are approximately 80 nucleotides in length. Their secondary structure includes four short double-helical elements and three loops (D, anti-codon, and T loops).
Source: RNAcentral
GCGGAUGUGGUGAAAUGGUAUACACGCUAUCUUGAGGUGGUAGUGCCGUAAGGCGUGGAGGUUCAACUCCUCUCAUCCGCA